AGGACAGUAGCUCAAUUGGCAGAGCAUCGGUCUCCAAAACCGGCGGUUGUGGGUUCGAGUCCCUCCUGUCCUGCCA
RNAcentral lists this transfer RNA (76 nucleotides) under Magnetococcales bacterium. RNAcentral describes it as "tRNA-Trp". It matches the Rfam family "tRNA". From Rfam's summary of the family: Transfer RNA (tRNA) molecules are approximately 80 nucleotides in length. Their secondary structure includes four short double-helical elements and three loops (D, anti-codon, and T loops). Lineage: Bacteria; Pseudomonadati; Pseudomonadota; Magnetococcia; Magnetococcales. The record is from RNAcentral.